RNAcentral lists this small RNA (134 nucleotides) under Alicyclobacillus sp. RNAcentral describes it as "c-di-AMP sequence". It matches the Rfam family "c-di-AMP riboswitch aptamer (ydaO/yuaA leader)". From Rfam's summary of the family: This family represents a conserved RNA structure found upstream of the ydaO and yuaA genes in Bacillus subtilis and related genes in other bacteria. The ydaO/yuaA element is thought to act as a genetic "off" switch for the ydaO and yuaA genes in its native state. The record is from RNAcentral. Lineage: Bacteria; Bacillati; Bacillota; Bacilli; Caryophanales; Alicyclobacillaceae.
AGUAUGCCGUCGCUGAAUUCCUAAGAGAAGCGGAGAACCCAAUCACAGGGGUGAAUCAUCAGUCUUUCACUGAUGUAGGGAAUGCCUGCUCCCGAACCCGUCAGCUAACUCCGUAAGCGUUGCGGGCAGUUUUA